GCCGAUCAGGAAUGUACAACUUGGCUCCUACGUAGAGAUCGGAAGGUUUGCGAUUGAAGAGCAUAACAAGCAGUCGGAGGAGAUUCUGGCGUUCGUGAAAAACGUUAGGGGAAAAGAGCAAUACGACAAUGGCCUUAGAACUGUGAAUACGAGGGAAGUUUUAGAGGUCAAGGAGUUUAUAAAAGAAUCGCUGAUCCUGAUCAUGGUGGCAAGCAAAGUUUCAUAUUCAUUAUUCUAAAUAGAAAAGGAGUCGAUAAUCAUAAUUAUACAAAUAUAUUACUAUAAUUCAUACAUU
Molecule: long non-coding RNA, 295 nt
Organism: Brassica rapa (field mustard)
Lineage: Eukaryota; Viridiplantae; Streptophyta; Magnoliopsida; Brassicales; Brassicaceae
Source: RefSeq, a predicted model, not a curated record